Haliotis rubra (blacklip abalone) is the source of this 293-nucleotide long non-coding RNA. RefSeq lists it as uncharacterized. The record is from RefSeq and is a predicted model, not a curated record. NCBI's taxonomy places the organism in Eukaryota, Metazoa, Mollusca, Gastropoda, Lepetellida, Haliotidae. The transcript is spliced from 3 exons.
CAGAAACCUAUGUUAUCUACUUACAGUCUUUCUUCCACAAAUUCAAAGAAUGGAACCGAAAGUACGGAAAUGUAUAUGGGAUAUUUAUGGGAAGAACGCCAGCCUAUGUUAUAUCGGAUCUGGACAUUCUGAAGGAGGUGUUUGUCAAGAGCUUCAACACUUUCAGAAACAGGAGGAAAAUCUCACUCGUGCCCUACCCAUUAAAUAUAAGUGUGUUUUUCUUGGACGAUGAGUACUGGCGGAGGGUAAGAAGCAUCAUAAAACCGAGCUUCAGCAGCGGCAAACUGAGGAAG